This 419-nucleotide ribosomal RNA is filed under the name uncultured bacterium. RNAcentral describes it as "bacterial SSU rRNA". It matches the Rfam family "Bacterial small subunit ribosomal RNA", at positions 358 to 773 of the family's 1533-position model. The record is from RNAcentral.
GGAAUAUUGGACAAUGGGCGCAAGCCUGAUCCAGCUAUCCCGCGUGCAGGAUGACGGCCCUAUGGGUUGUAAACUGCUUUUAACAGGGAAUAACCCCCUCGAUUUAUUCGGGGGCUGAAGGUACCUGAAGAAUAAGCACCGGCUACCUCCGUGCCAGCAGCCGCGGUAAUACGGAGGGUGCGAGCGUUGUCCGGAAUCACUGGGUUUAAAGGGUGCGUAGGUGGCUUGAUAAGUCAGUGGUGAAAGCCCACCGCUUAACGGUGGAAUUGCCAUUGAUACUGUUGGGCUUGAAUAAGGAUGAGGUCGGCGGAAUGUGUCAUGUAGCGGUGAAAUGCAUAGAUAUGACAUAGAACACCAAUUGCGAAGGCAGCCGGCUAGACCUUUAUUGACACUGAGGCACGAAAGCGUGGGGAGCGAAC